UACCAAUCACUCUCCUUUCGUAAGAGGGCGUUGAUAAAAAGGGGAGAGGCUGCCAAGACAUGUGCUUGAGCAGGAAGAGACUGCCCUGCCAACAGCCAGCCUUGGCUAUCACUCUCUCAAGAGGAAUAUGACAAACCUGAAGAUACCUGAGGAGGUAGCUACUGCUGUACAAGGGUAAAGAAGUGUGUGUUCCCAUGGAUGAUUCAAGCCUGUCCAGCAGUAUUGAUGUAGACAAAGGCUUUGCCAUCGCCUUUGUUGUUCUUCUGUUUCUGUUCCUAAUCGUGAUGAUUUUUCGGUGUGCCAAGUUGGUGAAGAACCCCUAUGAGGCCAGCUCCACAACAGCAGAACCGUCGCUGAGCUGAACUAUGAAAAAGCCUGACAGACUCCUCCUCAGGGGAGAUAUUAAAUCUUCUAUACAGGUGUUUAUGAUCUGGACUUCAUAUUGGUUCCCCUCUCUGUGUGUCAGCCUUCUCACUCUGGCAUUCCACAAUAGGCACAGGAGGACGAGAAGAUACAGAGAGACAGAGGAAAAGGCUCUGUGAAGACAGAGGCAGAGAUUGGAGUCAUGCAGCCACAAACUAAAGAACACUUGGCUGGAACCAACAGAAGCUAGAAGAGGCAAGGGAAGAUUCUCAUCAGAGCCUUUGGAGGGAGCACAGCCCUGCCAACACCUUGAUUUUUGGAUUGCUAGCCUCUAGAACUGUAAGAGAAUAAAUUCCUGUUGUUUUAAGCCAA
Molecule: RNA transcript, 735 nt
Organism: Leopardus geoffroyi (Geoffroy's cat)
Lineage: Eukaryota; Metazoa; Chordata; Mammalia; Carnivora; Felidae
Gene: CTXND2
Gene name: cortexin domain containing 2
Exons: 3
Source: RefSeq, a predicted model, not a curated record